AGGCUUGUAGUCAGGUUUAAGCGCACCCCUGAUAAGGGUGAGGUCGGUGGUUCAAGUCCACUCAGGCCUACCA
RNAcentral lists this transfer RNA (73 nucleotides) under Escherichia coli UMNF18. Its description in RNAcentral is "tRNA-Und (NNN) (tRNA-Und-NNN-1-1)". It matches the Rfam family "tRNA". Rfam says of the family: Transfer RNA (tRNA) molecules are approximately 80 nucleotides in length. Their secondary structure includes four short double-helical elements and three loops (D, anti-codon, and T loops). Further hydrogen bonds mediate the characteristic L-shaped molecular structure. tRNAs have two regions of fundamental functional importance: the anti-codon, which is responsible for specific mRNA codon recognition, and the 3' end, to which the tRNAs corresponding amino acid is attached (by aminoacyl-tRNA synthetases). tRNAs cope with the degeneracy of the genetic code in two manners: having more than one tRNA (with a specific anti-codon) for a particular amino acid; and 'wobble' base-pairing, i.e. permitting non-standard base-pairing at the 3rd anti-codon position. Lineage: Bacteria; Pseudomonadati; Pseudomonadota; Gammaproteobacteria; Enterobacterales; Enterobacteriaceae. The record is from RNAcentral.